RNAcentral lists this unclassified non-coding RNA (391 nucleotides) under soil metagenome. Its description in RNAcentral is "partial contains 5.8S ribosomal RNA, internal transcribed spacer 2, and large subunit ribosomal RNA". The stretch from base 1 to 122 matches the Rfam family "5.8S ribosomal RNA", at positions 35 to 154 of the family's 154-position model. The record is from RNAcentral.
GAUGUAGAACGUAGCGAAAUGCGAUACUUGGUGUGAAUUGCAGAAUCCCGUGAACCAUCGAGUCUUUGAACGCAAGUUGCGCCCGAAGCCAUUAGGCCGAGGGCACGCCUGCCUGGGCGUCACACGUCGUUGCCCCCCCAUCUACUCCUUCGGGAUUGCGGGGGGCGGAUGAUGGCCUCCCGUGCGCCUCGUCGCGCGGUUGGCAUAAAUGCCAAGUCCUCGGCGACGCACGCCACGACAAUCGGUGGUUGCGAAACCUCGGUUGCCCGUCGUGUGCGGUCGUCGCGCAUCGAGGGCUCGAAAAAAUUGCCGGGCUCCGGCUCGGCUUUCAACGCGACCCCAGGUCAGGCGGGGUUACCCGCUGAAUUUAAGCAUAUCAAUAAGCGGAGGA